RNAcentral lists this transfer RNA (379 nucleotides) under uncultured Bradyrhizobium sp. RNAcentral describes it as "partial 16S-23S ribosomal RNA intergenic spacer". The stretch from base 247 to 320 matches the Rfam family "tRNA". The record is from RNAcentral. Lineage: Bacteria; Pseudomonadati; Pseudomonadota; Alphaproteobacteria; Hyphomicrobiales; Nitrobacteraceae.
UUGCGGCUGGAUCACCUCCUUUCUAAGGAUGAUCCUUCAGAACGAGCAUCCGCUCGUUCUAUCGGAUCGCUUAGAAACACAUCGGGACCUAUCAGUUCAGGCUGAUUUGGUCCUUAGGCGGGAUUUCGCCGUCUUCGUUUCUCUUUCUUCUCGGACGAGCCCGCAUCGGGGAUCAGAAGUCAGUCAUCAGUAAUCAGGCUUCUUCUGGCCGCUGAUUCCUGAUCACUGACCGCUGAUUACUGGCAUGGGCCUGUAGCUCAGUUGGUUAGAGCGCGCGCUUGAUAAGCGUGAGGUCGGAAGUUCAAAUCUUCCCAGGCCCACCAGCCUUCGCUCGCUACACGNAAGGGGAGGCUGCCGCGCCGAAGCCGAAUGGCGAAGG